GGGGUGGAGCCUGGGAGCGCGCGAUGGGAUUGGGGCCGAAGCCGGGGUAGACUCCUCAAGCCCUGGACCUCCCCUGCUUAUGGAGCAGAUUUCCUGGCACAAUAAACCUAACUUCCCAGAGCGCUGGUUCCUCAGCUUUAAACAGGGAAAGCGUUUUUCUUAAACCUCUGCAUCUGGAGUCUUUACGUAACCAGACCAACGGCAG
RNAcentral lists this long non-coding RNA (205 nucleotides) under Dasypus novemcinctus (nine-banded armadillo). RNAcentral's name for it is "lncRNA (ENSDNOG00000051491.1)". The record is from RNAcentral. Lineage: Eukaryota; Metazoa; Chordata; Mammalia; Cingulata; Dasypodidae.